CGUAAAGCGCGCGUAGGCGGCCAAAUCAGCCGGUUGUGAAAGCCCCGGGCUCAACCUGGGAACGGCAUCCGGAACUGUUUGGCUAGAGUGCAGGAGAGGAAGGUAGAAUUCCCGGUGUAGCGGUGAAAUGCGUAGAGAUCGGGAGGAAUACCAGUGGCGAAGGCGGCCUUCUGGACUGACACUGACGCUGAGGUGCGAACGCGUGGGUAGCAAACAGGAUUAGAUACCCUGGUAGUCCACGCCGUAAACGAUGUCGACUAGCCGUUGGGGUCCUAGAGACCUUUGUGGCGAAGUUAACGCGAUAAGUCGACCGCCUGGGGAGUACGGCCGCAGGGUUAAAACUCAAAUGAAUUGACGGGGGCCCGCACAAGCGGUGGAGCAUGUGGUUUAAUUCGAUGCAACGCGAAGAACCUUACCUACCCUUGACAUCGUGCGAACCCGGAAGAGAUUCCGGGGUGCCUUCGGGAGCGCACAGACAGGUGCUGCAUGGCUGUCGUCAGCUCGUGUUGUGAAAUGUUGGGUUAAGUCCCGUAACGAGCGCAACCCUUGUCCCUAUUUGCCAGCACGUAACGGUGGGAACUCUAGGGAGACUGCCGGUGACAAACCGGAGGAAGGUGGGGACGACGUCAAGUCAUCAUGGCCCUUACGGGUAGGGCUACACACGUGCUACAAUGGCCGGUACAGAGGGACGCGAAGCCGCGAGGUGAAGCCAAUCCCGCAAAGCCGGUCUCAGUCCGGAUCGGAGUCUGCAACUCGACUCCGUGAAGUCGGAAUCGCUAGUAAUCGUGA
RNAcentral lists this ribosomal RNA (789 nucleotides) under uncultured bacterium. RNAcentral describes it as "bacterial SSU rRNA". It matches the Rfam family "Bacterial small subunit ribosomal RNA", at positions 559 to 1347 of the family's 1533-position model. The record is from RNAcentral.